UGAUUAUGACGUACUUGUACUGAUUGAGAUUUUAACACGAAGUGAGUGGCGAACGGGUGAGUAACACGUGGGUAACCUGCCCAGAAGUAGGGGAUAACACCUGGAAACAGAUGCUAAUACCGUAUAACAGAGAAAACCGCAUGGUUUUCUUUUAAAAGAUGGCUCUGCUAUCACUUCUGGAUGGACCCGCGGCGUAUUAGCUAGUUGGUGAGGUAAAGGCUCACCAAGGCAGUGAUACGUAGCCGACCUGAGAGGGUAAUCGGCCACAUUGGGACUGAGACACGGCCCAGACUCCUACGGGAGGCAGCAGUAGGGAAUCUUCCACAAUGGACGCAAGUCUGAUGGAGCAACGCCGCGUGAGUGAAGAAGGGUUUCGGCUCGUAAAGCUCUGUUGUUAAAGAAGAACGUGGGUAAGAGUAACUGUUUACCCAGUGACGGUAUUUAACCAGAAAGCCACGGCUAACUACGUGCCAGCAGCCGCGGUAAUACGUAGGUGGCAAGCGUUAUCCGGAUUUAUUGGGCGUAAAGCGAGCGCAGGCGGUCUUUUAAGUCUAAUGUGAAAGCCUUCGGCUCAACCGAAGAAGUGCAUUGGAAACUGGGAGACUUGAGUGCAGAAGAGGACAGUGGAACUCCAUGUGUAGCGGUGAAAUGCGUAGAUAUAUGGAAGACACCAGUGGCGAAGGCGGCUGUCUGGUCUGCAACUGACGCUGAGGCUCGAAAGCAUGGGUAGCGAACAGGAUUAGAUACCCUGUUAGUCCAUGCCGUAAACGAUGAUUACUAAGUGUUGGAGGGUUUCCGCCCUUCAGUGCUGCAGCUUACG
RNAcentral lists this ribosomal RNA (820 nucleotides) under Pediococcus pentosaceus. RNAcentral describes it as "bacterial SSU rRNA". It matches the Rfam family "Bacterial small subunit ribosomal RNA", at positions 45 to 857 of the family's 1533-position model. The record is from RNAcentral. Lineage: Bacteria; Bacillati; Bacillota; Bacilli; Lactobacillales; Lactobacillaceae.